Molecule: ribosomal RNA, 2100 nt
Filed under: Triticum aestivum (bread wheat)
Lineage: Eukaryota; Viridiplantae; Streptophyta; Magnoliopsida; Poales; Poaceae
Description: partial small subunit ribosomal RNA
Source: RNAcentral
AAAACAACUUUGGCUACAAAUGUGUAUAGGAAGGAGAGAAAAAAGUUUGAAUGCCAUGCAUGGGUUUCUAUCUCUCAGAGGUAUUCUGCAAAACAUGUUCUAAAAUGUUUGAUCACUGAAUUUUACAAAUUGAGCAAAUACACCCCAGGUAACAUUGAUCACAUGGACACUAAAUGUCUUCAAGAUGUAUUAAGGAGAUUCCUAGAGGACAAGAAGUAUUUAGUCAUACUAGAUGAUGUUUGGGCUCCAGAAGUAGUCAAUGACUUGUUUGGAGCACUCGUCCAAAAUUCUAAGGGGAGUAGAGUCCUUAUCACAACACGCAUUGAUGAUGUGGCCCACCUUGCUCACGAUAGAAGAAUAACACUAACUCCUCUAUCAAAUAAGGAUCCAUGGGAGCUCUUUUGUAAGACUGCUUUCCCAAAAGAUACAGAUCACCAUUGCCCCACAGAAUUGGCAGAAUUAGCACAUGAAGUAGUUUGCAAGUGUAAAGGUAAACCUCUUGCAAUUGUCACAGUUGGCAGGACCCUCUUUGUGCGUGACAAGACAAAAGAGGAAUUCAAGCGAAUACGUGAUCAGCUGGACUGAGAGCUUCUUAAUAAUCCAAGCAUGGAGGAUGUUAGAAACAUCCUUCACUUGAGCUUUAUCUAUCUUCCACCUUACUUGAAAGGUUGUUUCUUAUACUGUAGCUUGUUUCCAGAAGACUAUCUUUUCCAAAGGAAAAAGCUUGUACGGUUAUUGAUAGCUGAGGGGCUCAUCGAGGAGAGGGGUGAAAGCACACUAGAAGAAGUGGCAGAAAGCUACGUGAAAGAAUUGGUUCAUAGAAAUAUGCUACAACUUGUUGAGAGGAACUCAUUUGGCAGGAUAAAGAAAAUCAGAAUGCAUGAUAUACUACGUGAACUAGCGGUUGUAUUGUGUGAGAAAGAAUGUUUUGGUAUUGCAUAUGAUGAGGAUAAACACAGUGGAUCUUUUGAUAAUGAUGGCCGUCGAUUGGUCGUGCACAAACUAAAGAAGGACAUUCACCAUUCAGUCCCAAGUAUAUACCGCCUUCGAUCUGUCAUCGCAUUGGACCACAGUAUGCCAUGUUCCACUCUUCUGCCUCGGAUAGCGGAGAAGGCUAGAUAUAUGUCAGUGUUGGAGUUGAGUGACCUGCCAAUUGAGAAGAUUCCAAAUGCUAUUGGGGAUCUUUUCAAUCUCCGACAUUUGGGUUUGCGGAAUCCAAAGGUGAAGCUGCUCCCGAAGUCAAUUGAGAAGCUUUCGAAUUUGUUGACGUUGGACCUAUAUAGGAGUAACAUAGAAGAGUUGCCUAUUUGGAUAGUCAAACUGCAGAGGCUUAGACACUUAUUCGCUCAGAAAGCAAGUGAUCGAUCUGAGCGAGUUUUCAGGUGCCUCAGUGGUAUAUGCAUCCCCAAGGUUUUGAGGAACCUGCAGACGUUACAAACAUUGGAAGCACAGAGUGGGUCCAUUAGACAUCUGGGUGAGCUCGGGCAGCUUAGAAGCUUGAGAAUAUGGAAUGUGGAGGGAGUCUACUGUGGACACCUCUGUGAAUCUCUAGCUCAGAUGCAAUCUUUGUCCCACCUGACUGUGGGCGCGAGUGAUGAGAAUGUGAUUCUCCGGUUGAAUGCUCUCCCGCCAAACCUUCAAAAGUUACGGUUGAAUGGACAGCUAGAUGAAGACACACUGAGUCUCGUCCAAGAGGCAGGGCGAUGCUUGUAUUCAUUGCGUCUAUAUUGGUCACAGCUGAGAGGAGAUCCUCUUCCUUCCCUUUCUCGGUUGUCAAAUUUGACGGAGCUAAGGUUCAGCAAUGCCUACAAUGGGGAGAAGCUGGCAUUUCUCACUGGGUGCUUCCCCAAGCUGAAGAGAGUCAUUUUGCGAGACCUGCCUAGUCUGAAGUGCAUGGAGAUACACAAAGGUGCCAUGGCGAGCCUAGAAGAGCUGACACUUUGGAACCUCAGCAACAUGAUGGAGGUUCCACGUGGUCUUGAGUUCCUUGUGACCCUCCGGGUUGUAACCUUUUAUGAAAUCACCCCAGAGUUCUUGAAGUUGCUGCACAACUGCCCUAGAAUCAGAGGUACAAGGUGGUGGUACACUCUGCGGAACUGA